Molecule: transfer RNA, 77 nt
Filed under: Gammaproteobacteria bacterium
Lineage: Bacteria; Pseudomonadati; Pseudomonadota; Gammaproteobacteria
Also listed under: 1 other name
Description: tRNA-Arg
Rfam family: tRNA
About the family: Transfer RNA (tRNA) molecules are approximately 80 nucleotides in length. Their secondary structure includes four short double-helical elements and three loops (D, anti-codon, and T loops).
Source: RNAcentral
CUCUCGGUAGCUCAGUUGGAUAGAGCAUCUGCCUUCUAAGCAGAGGGUCGCAGGUUCGAAUCCUGCCCGGGAGGCCA